Molecule: ribosomal RNA, 253 nt
Filed under: uncultured bacterium
Lineage: Bacteria
Description: partial 16S ribosomal RNA
Rfam family: Bacterial small subunit ribosomal RNA
Source: RNAcentral
UACGUAGGGUGCAAGCGUUAAUCGGAAUUACUGGGCGUAAAGCGUGCGCAGGCGGCUUUGCAAGACAGAUGUGAAAUCCCCGGGCUUAACCUGGGAACUGCAUUUGUGACUGCAAGGCUAGAGUGUGUCAGAGGGAGGUGGAAUUCCGCGUGUAGCAGUGAAAUGCGUAGAGAUGCGGAGGAACACCGAUGGCGAAGGCAGCCUCCUGGGAUAACACUGACGCUCAUGCACGAAAGCGUGGGGAGCAAACAGG